AUGGAUGUUAGGAGUUGCUCUUGGAAUAUGAAAGCCCUGAGUUUGGAUCUAGCCUCAGACCGUGUGACCCUGGAGAAGUCACUUCACUUUUCUCUGAUUCAGAAUAUUCAUUAUGAAGAUGGCAGCAAUAACAAUAGCUACUUCACAGGAUUGUUGUGUGGAUCCAAUGAGUUAACUAUUAACAAUGACCCCAAAGUCCAAGAGGAGCGAGGCUGGGAGCUCGGAAAGCCCAAGAAAAGUCGAAACGUGGCUAGGUAUGUUUGUAUAGGAAACCGUUAUGAAAUAACUUGGGAGAAUCUUGGAACUCACUGGUCAGAUAGUCUGGGCCAAGGUGAUUCACCAGGCUGAGAUCACACGGGUCAUUAUCAUACAGUUCUCUGCCGUCCUCUGGAAAUAUUCUGUUGGAAGAUGACAGGUAAUGCCUUCGAGGGUGGGGACGUGAUGGUGUCGGAAAUCUGCCCAGGACCUGUCCUAGGGGAGGGAGAGUGCCCAGUAACACGAGUAUCCACUAUUUAAGUGCCACGGAGUAUUCAGGGAAGUCUCCAAACUCUGAAAAUACAAAGUUGGGCUUUACGGAGCACAAGUAUCAUGUACAUUCAUGGGAGGGGCUAGCUGGGAGGGCUGCACAAAUACCAUCAUCUCCAAACAAAAGUCUGUUUAAUUCAAACCAUUAAAUGUUUGUUAAAU
RNAcentral lists this long non-coding RNA (687 nucleotides) under Monodelphis domestica (gray short-tailed opossum). RNAcentral describes it as "lncRNA (ENSMODG00000047839.1)". Lineage: Eukaryota; Metazoa; Chordata; Mammalia; Didelphimorphia; Didelphidae. The record is from RNAcentral.